UGGGGAAUAUUGCACAAUGGGGGAAACCCUGAUGCAGCGACGCCGCGUGAGCGAAGAAGGCCUUCGGGUCGUAAAGCUCUUUUAUGAGGGAAGAUAAUGACGGUACCUCAAGAAAAAGCCCCGGCUAACUACGUGCCAGCAGCCGCGGUAAUACGUAAGGUCCGAGCGUUGUCCGGAAUCAUUGGGCGUAAAGGGUACGUAGGCGGGUAAGCAAGUUAGAAGUGAAAUCCUGUAGCUCAACUACAGUAAGCUUUUAAAACUGCUCAUCUUGAGAUAUGGAAGGGAAAGUGGAAUUCCUAGUGUAGCGGUGAAAUGCGCAGAUAUUAGGAGGAAUACCGGUGGCGAAGGCGACUUUCUGGCCAUAAUCUGACGCUGAGGUACGAAAGCGUGGGUAGCAAACAGG
RNAcentral lists this ribosomal RNA (403 nucleotides) under Verrucomicrobiota bacterium. Its description in RNAcentral is "Verrucomicrobia bacterium partial 16S ribosomal RNA". It matches the Rfam family "Bacterial small subunit ribosomal RNA", at positions 355 to 776 of the family's 1533-position model. Lineage: Bacteria; Pseudomonadati; Verrucomicrobiota. The record is from RNAcentral.